UUUGAGCAUGGCCAAGGUCUAUUCUAACUCAAAUUUUUAAUUGGUCAUGUACAUUUGGGAGCUUUCCCCAGCUCAAGUAUAAGACAAUAAAUUUCUUUUUUGUUUGGGUUGGAUCAAAAUCAAUUAUAAUUGAAUUGGGAUAACCCCAACUAGGUUAUCUAAUGUUGGUUGGUCAAUUUAUUAUUAAUUGUUUAGUUUGUUCUUGCAAAUGCUUAGAAUCCGUUUAGGUCAAAAUGAGGCAAGGAUGGGCAGGUCAAGCAAAGAUGAGUUGGAUGGGAUCAUGCAAAAUAUGCCAUAGAACCAGGUCUUAGGAGUGGACAAAUAUAAGCCAAUGACAUGUCAUGCCAAAUUCAGUUCAUGGGAACAAAUAUUACUACUUUAACUUGACAGGCUGAGCGAACCCACUGCUAUUAUGGCUUGACGUAACGCAGGCAAGUUAUUCUCUUUCUUUUUUUUAAAAAAAGAAGCAAUGAUGCAUUCCUUGCCAUCCAACGGCAUCGAAGAAUCUUAAACUUGUCUUCAAAAUUAUAGGCUUUUGUUAUUUUAUUCAUAUGCGGACAAGCAUGGUCGACCAAUAUUAAAGUAUUGAUUCCGAUGUCUGCAUAUUUCUAUAUUUUAAAAAAUGGAGAAAUA
This 633-nucleotide long non-coding RNA is filed under the name Phoenix dactylifera (date palm). Its description in RNAcentral is "long non-coding RNA (PDAC_LNC002019)". The record is from RNAcentral. Lineage: Eukaryota; Viridiplantae; Streptophyta; Magnoliopsida; Arecales; Arecaceae.